UAUUUUUUAUUUUCUCCAUUAUCGUUUGCUCCCUUCUCUAACGUUUUUUAUUUUCUCAUGGGUCUAAAUGAUUUUUUUGAGCAUGUAACCAAUCAAAAUCUCUGAUGGAUCCUUUGCCUGAUCAUGUGAACAAAGCCUUCCCUCAGGUAAGCCAACUUGAAAGAAAGCUCACAGUGAACCAGGAUGGAAAGAAGCAAUUAUCUAGAACAUUGGGUUUCAAAGUCUCUGGCAACCAUUUAAUACGUUUCUCCGCUCAAUUUUUUGAUUUCUUACAGUUUCUUUUUGUCUUCUCCAGUUGUUGUGUUUGUUUGGUUGCAGCUCCGAUUGUUAUGCAUGUUCGUUGCAUUCAGAACAUUGAGAACCAAGAUUCUAAGGUUCACUGUUCCUUUUUGGUUGUGAGUUUUUUCACCUAAUUUGGGUGGGUUGCUUUGGAGCUGAAUUUUAAGCUUUUUUUAAGUUAAUUUUAUCUGUUGUUGGGUUUUUUUAAUAAUAAUUUUCUGCUUUGGAGCUAUGGAGAUCUGUGGUGGGUUUGUUCCGUCUCUUUUUCAUGCUCUUUCUCUAUCAUUCGCUCCUGUUAACAGCGAGAGAAUUCAUGUGUCUUCUCUUUUUAUCAUUUUGAUUGGCUUUGUUCUCAUUGCUUCUAUGUUCCUGAAUGAAAUUUCAGGGCGACUCUUGACUCAUGAUAGUGUUUGCGUGUCUUGCUGCUGCUGCUGAUUUAUUUUUUAGUAAUUUGAGGGGUGACUCAUGGUGUUUGUUUUAGCAUUGAAAUUCAAAUAUUUACCCAGUACAUGCAAAUUCAGAGGGUCCAGUAGCUUAUGCAGAGCUAGAAAAAGACGUAAUGGAGCUGACUUGGCAGCGAGACCUUGCACAUGCUCACGUUGAAGAUCUGCUGCAAGCAGCUGAAGAUGAUGAACCUUUCAAGUCAUCAAGAGACUAUGGCUAUGGCAGUGCUGGGAUAAAAUAAGAACUCUCACAACUCAAACAAGGACUUCAAUUUUGAAAAGAGAACGCAGAAUGAAAGAGACACGUUGAUAAAUGCUUUAAGCUUGUUGGAUACCUGUAGAUUAUAAAGUUCAGAAUAAAAGGCACAAACAAGGAUUUCCAAACUUCACUGAAAAGAGAAACAUCAGUUCAAGUGGAGUCUACUAUGCAAAACAAUCAAGAAACUGGACUUCAAUUAUCAAGAGACCAAUGCCAACAGUUACAUGCCUACCUUAAUGUAAACAUGGAAUAGGAACUGCUUCCAACAAUCACAUUGCUGUUGUUUCAGUAGUGGGACGUAAUUUUUCAUUAAAGCAUAAUUGGAUAUAGAUAUAGGUGCGCUUCAGAUCAUGUAGUAUGCAUGCAUGAUCACUUCCAUAAACAUAAAAAACUACAUAAUGCAUAUGUGACAUUGCCAAAUGGA
Long non-coding RNA from Tripterygium wilfordii, 1405 nucleotides. RefSeq lists it as uncharacterized. Lineage: Eukaryota; Viridiplantae; Streptophyta; Magnoliopsida; Celastrales; Celastraceae. The transcript has 4 exons. The record is from RefSeq and is a predicted model, not a curated record.